RNAcentral lists this ribosomal RNA (495 nucleotides) under uncultured bacterium. Its description in RNAcentral is "partial 16S ribosomal RNA". It matches the Rfam family "Bacterial small subunit ribosomal RNA", at positions 28 to 507 of the family's 1533-position model. The record is from RNAcentral.
GACGAACGCUGGCGGCGUGCCUAAUACAUGCAGGUAGAACGCUGAAGGAGGAGCUUGCUCUUCUGGAUGAGUUGCGAACGGGUGAGUAACGCGUAGGUAACCUGCCUGGUAGCGGGGGAUAACUAUUGGAAACGAUAGCUAAUACCGCAUAAAAUUGAUUAUUGCAUGAUAGUCAAUUAAAAGGUGCAAUUGCAUCACUACCAGAUGGACCUGCGUUGUAUUAGCUAGUUGGUGAGGUAACGGCUCACCAAGGCAACGAUACAUAGCCGACCUGAGAGGGUGAUCGGCCACACUGGGACUGAGACACGGCCCAGACUCCUACGGGAGGCAGCAGUAGGGAAUCUUCGGCAAUGGACGGAAGUCUGACCGAGCAACGCCGCGUGAGUGAAGAAGGUUUUCGGAUCGUAAAGCUCUGUUGUAAGAGAAGAACGAGUGUGAGAGUGGAAAGUUCACACUGUGACGGUAUCUUACCAGAAAGGGACGGCUAACUACGUG